GAUGAUUAUAUAAUAUUGAAGUAUAAAAAGAAACUAAUAUCUUUGAAGCUUGGUUGAGAAUAUUUUUAUAGGAUGCUAACACUUUUGGUAAGCUUUGAAGUCUUUUAGAAUAUUUUUGAGCCUUAAAAAUUAAGGUUGGAGAUGAAUUCAUUGAAAAAAAUCAACUUAAGAAUGGCAAGUCGACUCCCUACUUUGGAUGAGUUGACUUUAGCACAA
RNAcentral lists this long non-coding RNA (216 nucleotides) under Elaeis guineensis (African oil palm). RNAcentral describes it as "long non-coding RNA (EGUI_LNC082543)". Lineage: Eukaryota; Viridiplantae; Streptophyta; Magnoliopsida; Arecales; Arecaceae. The record is from RNAcentral.